RNAcentral lists this ribosomal RNA (253 nucleotides) under uncultured bacterium. RNAcentral describes it as "partial 16S ribosomal RNA". It matches the Rfam family "Bacterial small subunit ribosomal RNA", at positions 524 to 776 of the family's 1533-position model. The record is from RNAcentral.
UACAGAGGUCUCAAGCGUUGUUCGGAUUCAUUGGGCGUAAAGGGUGCGUAGGCGGCGGGGCAAGUCGGAUGUGAAAUCUCAGGGCUCAACCCUGAAACUGCAUUCGAUACUGCCUUGCUCGAGGACUGGAGAGGAGAUUGGAAUUCACGGUGUAGCAGUGAAAUGCGUAGAUAUCGUGAGGAAGACCAGUGGCGAAGGCGGAUCUCUGGACAGUUCCUGACGCUGAGGCACGAAAGCCAGGGGAGCAAACGGG